CAGUCGCCGCGGUAAUACGUAGGUGGCAAGCGUUGUCCGGAAUUAUUGGGCGUAAAGCGAGCGCAGGCGGUUUGAUAAGUCUGAAGUUAAAGGCUGUGGCUUAACCAUAGUUCGCUUUGGAAACUGUCAAACUUGAGUGCAGAAGGGGAGAGUGGAAUUCCAUGUGUAGCGGUGAAAUGCGUAGAUAUAUGGAGGAACACCGGUGGCGAAAGCGGCUCUCUGGUCUGUAACUGACGCUGAGGCUCGAAAGCGUGGGGAGCGAACAGGAUUAGAGACCCCAGUAGUCCCUGUCUCUUAUACC
RNAcentral lists this ribosomal RNA (301 nucleotides) under uncultured bacterium. Its description in RNAcentral is "partial 16S ribosomal RNA". It matches the Rfam family "Bacterial small subunit ribosomal RNA", at positions 509 to 808 of the family's 1533-position model. The record is from RNAcentral.